AGCUCUCCCCAUCUGCUUCUUGCGCGAUGGCCGCUUCUGAGUCUCCUGAUUCCACACGCAAUUCUCAGUUCCUCCCUGGAUCCCUGGCUAGACACUGUGCCAGAGAAAGACCCCCGACAUGCCCCUGCCUUACCUGGGAGACCCUCUUUCUUCUUUUUCCUCUUAAAUCGUGUGGGCACUUUAGCCUUUGGUGGUGUUUCUCUCACUUCAUUCCUUUCAGCUGUGCUGGCUAAAUGCUGCUGUCCCAGCUCCAGACUCUUCAUGAAGAGGAUCUGGCUUCCUGGCCUGAGGCCCAGAAAUCCCGAAGUUUGUCUAAUGGUCAUCUGCAAGACAGUUAGUCCAAAUUAGCCUGUUUGUUCUUACCAGAAGCAGAAGUUAAAUAUUGACCUGUACUACAUUGUUCCUAGAACCCCAUAGAGAUGAACAAAUCAUCAGCGCUAUUCUCCAGUUGCUCAGCAGGGCAAGGAUUUGUGCCUGGCCUUCCAGGUACUUUUGGAGUAAGAGGAUGCUGAGGUUGACCUCUGAGUUCCUCCAGGUGACAGAGCAGAUGCACCAUGAACAGGUCCAAUGAGGCCUCCCCUGUGUUGGGGUUCGUUCUCCUGGGCCUCUCUGCCCACCCAUAGCUGGAGAAGACAUUCUUUGUGUUCAUCCUGCUGGUGUACCUGGUGAUCCUGCUGGGCAACGGGGUCCUCAUCCUGGUGACCAUCCUUGACUCCCGCCUGCACACACCCAUGUACUUCUUCCUGGGGAACCUCUCCUUCCUGGACAUCUGCUAUACAACCUCCUCAUCCUUGACAGCUUCCUGACCCCCAGGAAAACCAUCUCCUUCUCAGCCUGUGCAGUACAGAUGUUCCUCUCCUUUGCCAUGGGAGCCACAGAGUGUGUUCUCCUGAGCAUGAUGGCUUUUGAUCACUACCUGGACAUGUGCAACCCCCUUAGGUACCCUGUGGUCAUGAGCAAGGCUGCCUACAUGCCCAUGGCUGUUGGCUCCUGGGCAGCUGGUAUCACCAACUCUGUAGUACAGAUAUCCCUAGCAAUGUGACUGCCCUUCUGUGGGGACAAUGUCAUCAAUCACUUCACCUGUGAGAUCCUGGCAGUUCUAAAGUUGGCCUGUGCUGACAUCUGCAUCAACGUGAUCAGCAUGGUUGUGACCAACAUGAUCUUCCUUGCACUCCCAGUCCUGUUUAUUUUUGUCUCAUAUGUCUUCAUCAUUGCCACCAUCCUGAGAAUCCCCUCAGCUGAGGGGAGGAAAAAGGCCUUCUCCACCUGCUCUGCCCACCUCACUGUCGUGAUCGUCUUCUAUGGGAUGAUCCUCUUCAUGUAUGGGAAGCCCAAGUCUAAGGACCCAAUGGGAGCAGACAAACAGGACCUUGCAGACAAACUCAUCUCCAUUUUCUAUGGAGUGGUGACCCCCAUUCUCAACCCCAUCAUCUACAGCCCGAGGAACAAAGAUUUGAAAGCUGCUAUGAGGAACCUGGUGGCUCAAAAACACCUAACAGAGUGACUAUCACAGAUCCCCAGACUGCGAGAAUGCAUAACCUCCAAAUUCCUCAUUGUUCUUUUGGGGAAAUGGUAACCAGGGAGGACCUUAGACUGUCAAUAGAAAGAACCAUAAAAUUUCUGAGGCUGCUGGUUAGUUUGCUGGCUUUACACAGAAUCGUGCUGUGUCAUAUCAUAGCUAUAUUUUACUGACUAAAUCUUAAAUUCUUUGAUACAGAAUUUGAUGAAUAUCCAUAAGAGUUAUAGAGGUGGUCAAAAGAGACAAACAAACAAAAAUUUUAGUGGUACUGGGAUCUUGGAGGAUACAGGAUAUGGUUGGGCUCUGUGUCCCUGCCCAAAUCUCCUGUCGAAUUGUAAUCCCCAGUGUUGGAGGAGGGGCCUGGUAAGAGGUGAUUGGAUCAUGGGGGCAGAUUUCCCCCUUGCUGUUCUCAUGAUAGUGAGUCAGUUCCCAUGAGAUCUAGAUGUUUAAAAGUGUGUAGCACCUCCUGUUUCACCCUCUUCCUCCUACUCCAGCCAUGUAGGACAUGAUUGCUUCCCCUUUGCCUUCCGCCAUGAUUGUAAGUUUCCUGAGGCCUCCCCAGCCAUGCUUCCUGUACAGCAUGUGGAACAGCGAGCCAAUUAAACCUCUUUUCUUUGUAAAUUACCCAGUUUCAGGUAUUUCUUUAUAUCAUUGCAAGAAUGGAC
RNAcentral lists this long non-coding RNA (2184 nucleotides) under Homo sapiens (human). RNAcentral describes it as "non-protein coding lnc-RECK-328:3". Lineage: Eukaryota; Metazoa; Chordata; Mammalia; Primates; Hominidae. The record is from RNAcentral.